AGCUCCAAUAGCGUAUAUUAAAAUUGUUGCGGUUAGAACGCUCGUAGUCGAAUGUUUGCUCGGACUGAACGGUCCUCCCUAGUGGUGCGUACUCAGUGUAGUCCGAGCACCUCUCUGGUUCGAGUGUUUGCAGUUGAGUCUGUUGCGCGUUGCCCAGAACUUUUACUUUGAGGAAAUGAGAGUGCUUCAAGCAAAUGUACGUUUUGAAUACGUUAGCAUGGAAUAAUCGCAUGGGACAGCAUCCUGACAUUGUUGGUUUUCGGGUAGAUGUAAUGAAGAUGGGGAUAGUUGGGGGCAUUCGUAUUUAACUGUUAGAGGUGAAAUUCUUGGAUUUUUUAAAGAUGGACUACUGCGAAAGCAUCUGCCAAAGAUGUUUUUG
Molecule: ribosomal RNA, 379 nt
Filed under: uncultured eukaryote
Lineage: Eukaryota
Description: SSU rRNA
Rfam family: Eukaryotic small subunit ribosomal RNA
Source: RNAcentral